CGCGUGUAUGAAGAAGGCCUUCGGGUUGUAAAGUACUUUCAGVCGUGAGGAAGGCGGCGUCGUUAAUAGCGGCGUUGUUUGACGUUAGCGACAGAAGAAGCACCGGCUAACUCCGUGCCAGCAGCCGCGGUAAUACGGAGGGUGCGAGCGUUAAUCGGAAUUACUGGGCGUAAAGCGCAUGCAGGUGGUUUGUUAAGUCAGAUGUGAAAGCCCGGGGCUCAUCCUCGGAAUAGCAUUUGAAACUGGCAGACUAGAGUACUGUAGAGGGGGGUAGAAUUUCAGGUGUAGCGGUGAAAUGCGUAGAGAUCUGAAGGAAUACCGGUGGCGAAGGCGGCCCCCUGGACAGAUACUGACACUCAGAUGCGAAAGCGUGGGGAGCAAACAGGAUUAGAUACCCUGGUAGUCCACGCCGUAAACGAUGUCUACUUGGAGGUUGUGGCCUUGAGCC
RNAcentral lists this ribosomal RNA (448 nucleotides) under Vibrio alginolyticus. Its description in RNAcentral is "bacterial SSU rRNA". It matches the Rfam family "Bacterial small subunit ribosomal RNA", at positions 398 to 838 of the family's 1533-position model. Lineage: Bacteria; Pseudomonadati; Pseudomonadota; Gammaproteobacteria; Vibrionales; Vibrionaceae. The record is from RNAcentral.